Molecule: ribosomal RNA, 783 nt
Filed under: Bacillus subtilis
Lineage: Bacteria; Bacillati; Bacillota; Bacilli; Caryophanales; Bacillaceae
Description: bacterial SSU rRNA
Rfam family: Bacterial small subunit ribosomal RNA
Source: RNAcentral
GUCGAGCGCGACAGAUGGGAGCUUGCUCCCUGAUGUUAGCGGCGGCCGGGUGAGUAACACGUGGGUAACCUGCCUGUAAGACUGGGAUAACUCCGGGAAACCGGGGCUAAUACCGGAUGGUUGUUUGAACCGCAUGGUUCAAACAUAAAAGGUGGCUUCGGCUACCACUUACAGAUGGACCCGCGGCGCAUUAGCUAGUUGGUGAGGUAACGGCUCACCAAGGCGACGAUGCGUAGCCGACCUGAGAGGGUGAUCGGCCACACUGGGACUGAGACACGGCCCAGACUCCUACGGGAGGCAGCAGUAGGGAAUCUUCCGCAAUGGACGAAAGUCUGACGGAGCAACGCCGCGUGAGUGAUGAAGGUUUUCGGAUCGUAAAGCUCUGUUGUUAGGGAAGAACAAGUACCGUUCGAAUAGGGCGGUACCUUGACGGUACCUAACCAGAAAGCCACGGCUAACUACGUGCCAGCAGCCGCGGUAAUACGUAGGUGGCAAGCGUUGUCCGGAAUUAUUGGGCGUAAAGGGCUCGCAGGCGGUUUCUUAAGUCUGAUGUGAAAGCCCCCGGCUCAACCGGGGAGGGUCAUUGGAAACUGGGGAACUUGAGUGCAGAAGAGGAGAGUGGAAUUCCACGUGUAGCGGUGAAAUGCGUAAAGAUGUGGAGGAACACCAGUGGCGAAGGCGACUCUCUGGUCUGUAACUGACGCUGAGGAGCGAAAGCGUGGGGAGCGAACAGGAUUAGAUACCCUGGUAGUCCACGCCGUAAACGAUGAGUGCUAAGUGUUA